This 335-nucleotide ribosomal RNA is filed under the name Helicops carinicaudus. RNAcentral describes it as "partial small subunit ribosomal RNA". The record is from RNAcentral. Lineage: Eukaryota; Metazoa; Chordata; Lepidosauria; Squamata; Dipsadidae.
AAAGACUUGACGGUACUUCACACCAACCUAGAGGAGCCUGUCUAAUAACCGAUACCCCACGAUUAACCCCACCUGCUCUAGCCCAACAGUCUAUAUACCGCCGUCGCCAGCCUACCUUGUGAAAGAAAUAAAGUAAGCGCAAUAGGACCACCCCUAAUACGACAGGUCGAGGUGUAACUAAUGAGCAGGCAAAAGAUGGACUACAUUUUCUAAUACAGAACACACGAAUAAACUAUGAAACUAGAAACUGAAGGCGGAUUUAGCAGUAUGAUAAGAAUAAAAUACCUAACUGAAACCAAUGCAAUGAAGUGCGUACACACCGCCCGUCAUCCCUG